Molecule: non-coding RNA, 134 nt
Organism: Triticum urartu
Lineage: Eukaryota; Viridiplantae; Streptophyta; Magnoliopsida; Poales; Poaceae
Source: Rfam
CUAGUACUCCCUUCGUUCGAAAAUACUUGUCAUCAAAAUAGAUAAAAAAGGAUGUAUCUAGAACUAAUAUACAUCUACAUACAUCACCUUUUAUUCAUUUUGAUGACAAGUAUUCCGGACGGAGGGAGUAGGUC